Molecule: long non-coding RNA, 225 nt
Filed under: Lathyrus oleraceus (garden pea)
Lineage: Eukaryota; Viridiplantae; Streptophyta; Magnoliopsida; Fabales; Fabaceae
Description: Pisum sativum (pea) long non-coding RNA (PSAT_LNC007930)
Source: RNAcentral
CGGUUGAAAUGUUAGGGUUUGCGUGAGAUGGGGGUUGCUCUGAGUUCUCUGUCAGGUUCCUCUCCAGGUUUUGUUCAGGGUUUUGUUUCAAGGAAACCUCAGAGUAUUUUGCUUCUUUUCCUUUUUCUGUCUGAUCUCCCUCUUUUAUAACCUGAUUUUCAUGGCUUCGUGGGCUCAAAUGAGAGAGGUCCAAGUCCAAGUUUUUUCUAUUAUAUUUUAUUUAUU